This 1671-nucleotide long non-coding RNA is filed under the name Nicotiana benthamiana. RNAcentral describes it as "long non-coding RNA (NBEN_LNC019145)". The record is from RNAcentral. Lineage: Eukaryota; Viridiplantae; Streptophyta; Magnoliopsida; Solanales; Solanaceae.
UAGAAUCAGUGUUUGCAACUACCAAUCCUUAAUUAAAAUAUAAAAUCAACUCAAGUAACAAUUAUCCAAUAUCAAUCUAUCAUUAAAAUGCAACACCCAUCAAUUACCUACAGUAGGGUUGAGCCACAACCCUAGCGAAUGGGUUUAGCUAGACAUAAUUACAGAAAAAACUGAAGAAAUAGAAGAAGAACUAGACAUAUUAAUUGAUUACUAGGAAGAAACUACAAAAAUCUAUUGAGAAUUUAAAGUUAAAGUGCCAAAAAUGGCUAAUAUCUCGAUCUCGAGGUGCACAGUUGCGUUAAUAAUACAAAACUUCACCUAAAAUGGUAAAAUAUACUAUUUAUAGUGGGCUAGAAAAAUUGGACAAAAAUAAUCAUGCGGUGUUAGUGCGAGCCGCACUGGCUCUUUGACUUCAACUUUUAAUCUCUCUGAACUGUUUGGCGCGGGCCGCGUAAAAGGGUAAGGCGGCUAGCGCGGACAGCGUGAAUAAGAUCGAGGCCCCAUGGCUUGCUCUUGACCAAAAUAAGAGCCCUUUGAAUCUCCUAAAGCAUACCACAUGAACAAGUAGUGCGGUUGCGUAAGCCAAAUGCGGGCCGCAUGGAUCUGACCGCGGUCCCAUUGUCAUUGUUCUGAAUAUGCCCCAUCUCUGAACCUCCUAGUGCGGCUGCGUGCACUUUUGUGCGGUCCGCACUAGGCUCACUUUCCUCGCUUUACUUGGUCUUUGAUACUUGAGCUAGUUUCACUCCGUUUUGAGUCGAUGUUUGACAUUUCAUCACUUUGUCGCUCAAACAUGCAAUCAAACACAACCUGUGAGCAUUUUAGGACGAUUUUAUAGCAAUUUAUACUCAAAGCAUAGGCAAUUAAAAUCUUACUUACCACAUUGCUCAGAAGCUAUUUUAUCACAUGAGAAUAGAAAUAUCAAUAUUUUCUAGGUUAAAGAACCAGAUACCACACAUCUGAUUACUCAUAUUAAGCGAUUUCAUUCUUGUACUCCUUCUCAAUUAUCUAGAUUCGAGUCAACUAAUAUUCAGCCAUCAAUGUAGCACUCCAACAAUGAUUCAUUCAGUCAAAUUAAAACAAUCAAAUAUACUAAAACAAAUAAUUUCACAUACAAGUAUCAUAAUAGAAUUAUUAAAAUUAAGAACAAGAGAGGGAUAAACCUUUAUUGCUGCAAUUUUCUGCCAUGUACAACGAAAUAGCAUCUCAAAAAUCAGCCAACCAAAACAAACAAACUAUUUGAUCUAAACCUCGAUGAAUCCUCUGUUUUCUCUGUAGUUGAGCUUUUCCAAUUGAGCAGAAUACGCAAGAGACGCUGACGGAAACUCGAACUACGAGCGACAACAUCGACGAACUAGACUCGAACGCCAGCCGUUCUUCAGCCUUCUUCUGUAUAGCUUUUAGGCGUCCUUUUUCUUUUUGAUUUAAGUCCAAACGGCUGAUUGUUCUUUUGUUCCUAGGGGUUUCUUUUAGGUUUCAUGAGGAAGAUGAUGUUCGGCUGGUCGUUCUUUUGAUUGAGAAAAUCAGGGUGUUCUAAGGUUGAAGAUGCUAAAGAAGAGGGAAAAUGGCGUUAGCUUGUCGAGAAGAUGACACUAGUGUCUUCUCUCCAAAUCCGAAAACGGCGUUGCCUUGUUUUUUAGUGUAUAGGUUUGUAAAGUCCAGGUAAUUUUUAGA